This 463-nucleotide ribosomal RNA is filed under the name uncultured bacterium. Its description in RNAcentral is "bacterial SSU rRNA". It matches the Rfam family "Bacterial small subunit ribosomal RNA", at positions 331 to 792 of the family's 1533-position model. The record is from RNAcentral.
CCAGACUCCUACGGGAGGCAGCAGUGAGGAAUAUUGGUCAAUGGUCGGGAGACUGAACCAGCCAAGCCGCGUGAGGGAUGAAGGUACAGAGUAUCGUAAACCUCUUUUGUCAGGGAACAAAGGCGGGGACGCGUCCCCGGAUGAGUGUACCUGAAGAAAAAGCAUCGGCUAACUCCGUGCCAGCAGCCGCGGUAAUACGGAGGAUGCGAGCGUUAUCCGGAUUUAUUGGGUUUAAAGGGUGCGCAGGCGGCUUGUGAGGCGAGGGCAAAGCCCCGGGGCCCCACCCCCGCCCCGCCGUUGAAACUGGCAGUCUCGAGUUGGAGAGAAGUAUGCGGAAUGCGCGGUGUAGCGGUGAAAUGCAUAGAUAUCGCGCAGAACUCCGAUUGCGAAGGCAGCAUGCCGGCUCCACACUGACGCUGAGGCACGAAAGCGUGGGUAUCGAACGGGAUUAGAUACCCUAGUA